AGAUUAAGUUAUUAAGGGCGCACGGUGGAUGCCUUGGCACUAGAAGCCGAUGAAGGACGUUACUAACGACGAUAUGCUUUGGGUAGCUGUAAGUAAGCGUUGAUCCAGAGAUUUCCGAAUGGGGGAACCCAGCAUGAGU
Molecule: ribosomal RNA, 139 nt
Filed under: Staphylococcus epidermidis
Lineage: Bacteria; Bacillati; Bacillota; Bacilli; Caryophanales; Staphylococcaceae
Description: partial 23S ribosomal RNA
Rfam family: Bacterial large subunit ribosomal RNA
Source: RNAcentral